RNAcentral lists this ribosomal RNA (46 nucleotides) under Hypocreales sp. r335. RNAcentral describes it as "partial 18S ribosomal RNA". It matches the Rfam family "Eukaryotic small subunit ribosomal RNA", at positions 1786 to 1831 of the family's 1831-position model. The record is from RNAcentral. Lineage: Eukaryota; Fungi; Ascomycota; Sordariomycetes; Hypocreales.
AAGUCGUAACAAGGUCUCCGUGGGUGAACCAGCGGAGGGAUCAUUA